GACGAGCCACACGAACGUUAUUCGGAAUUACUGGGCUUAAAGGGCGCGUAGGCUGCGCGGAAAGUUGGGUGUGAAAUCCCUCGGCUCAACCGAGGAACUGCGCCCGAAACUGCCGUGCUCGAGGAAGAUAGAGGUAAGCGGAACUUACGGUGGAGCGGUGAAAUGCGUUGAUAUCGUAAGGAACACCUGUGGCGAAAGCGGCUUACUGGGUCUUUUCUGACGCUGAGGCACGAAAGCUAGGGGAGCAAACGGG
This 253-nucleotide ribosomal RNA is filed under the name uncultured bacterium. RNAcentral's name for it is "partial 16S ribosomal RNA". It matches the Rfam family "Bacterial small subunit ribosomal RNA", at positions 524 to 776 of the family's 1533-position model. The record is from RNAcentral.